CCUCGGGCAGGUCCCGGUCCCUGCCGCCCGCCGCCCCCGCGGCCUUGGCCCGCCUCCAGGGGAACCUCGAUUUUCCAAAUUCGGGAAGGCUGGCUGCUGAUAAGGACGGGAGCGCAUGGUGAACGAGCUUAACAAUGCCCGGAAAGAAAUAGCCGGGCCGAGAAAGAACUAAUAAUAGCCGCCGGCUCGAGCUCUGCCCGCCGGCUCCGCGCUCUGAGGAACAAUAAUGACGACAACAACCACAAUAGCCACCAUUUAUUGCGCGCGCGCUCUGUGCCAGGCACGGUGCUGAGCGCUUUGCAGGCGACAACCCUCGGAGACGCUGGAUUCCAGUAAAUGGAACUAUACUUCCCAUUGGUCCCUCAGGAGCCUGAACCAGGAAGUCAGACCAAGAUGCUGUGUGACCUUGGGUGAGUUACUUCACCUCUCUGAGUCUCAGAAAACAAGGUAAUCUUAGUACUUGCCACACAGGGUUGUGGUGAGACAUAAAUCAGAAAACUCACAGAAAGUGCUUAACUCGAUUCAGGGACGUGAUAAACACUACAUUGCAUGAAUGCUCCCUACACAUUGUGCCUAUUCUCUGC
RNAcentral lists this long non-coding RNA (584 nucleotides) under Chinchilla lanigera (long-tailed chinchilla). Its description in RNAcentral is "lncRNA (ENSCLAG00000027592.1)". The record is from RNAcentral. Lineage: Eukaryota; Metazoa; Chordata; Mammalia; Rodentia; Chinchillidae.